UUUUUGUGUAAAAUAAAGUUUAACCGAGAGCAAAAAAAAAUAAAAAAGAUUUUUAAACAAAAUAAAACGCUUAAUUAAAAGUUAAAACAUUUAUAAAGCAAAUAUAUACUUUCUAUUCAAAAAGUUUGUGUUUCUAUAAAUACAAAAACCUCUAAUAAAUUCCCUUAUCCAUGAAAAUCAAACUAUUAAAAAAGUUUGUUCAAGCGUAAAGGACUUGAUGAUCUCACAGGCAUUACAGUGCCAUAAAUAAAAAAUAACCAACAGCCAUUACAUUUCUUUAUUCAUUAAUUUUCAUGAAUUGUACAUUUUAUACCACCCUCCUCAACCUUUAGACGUUUUAUAAAAAACUAUAAUCUACCAUAACAGUGCAUGUAACUUUAGUACCACGAAGGAGCCAAAAAUUAACAAAGCAUUAAAAAGGUUAGCUUAAAAAAUGGAUUCCCAAAAUAACUCUCUUUUCUUAAUACCAAAAUAACUCUCUUUUCUUAAUAUCAAAAUAACUCUCUUUUCUUAAUAUCAAAAUAACUCUCUUUUCUUAAUAUCAAAAUAACUCUCUUUUCUUAAUAUCAAAAUAACUCUCUUUUCUUAAUAUCAAAAUAACUCUCUUUUCUUAAUAUCAAAAUAACUCUCUUUUCUUAAUAUCAAAAUGUUUGUUUUUUUUUGCUUUUUUAUACUGUCGUAAGCCGGAUAGUUUAUUAACUACAAACGUAGUUUAACUGUGUUAAAUUACUAAAAUUUACACACAAAAUCUUAUUUUAAACUAAAAAAAGAAAUUGCAUACAAAACUUUGUAGGAUUAACCAAAUCGUUUGAGGCAAUAUUACGAUUAGACAAAACUUGCUGUUUAACUUUUUAAAUUAGUGUUUUUUAUUCUACCAAAAAACAGCAAUUAAACAACUUAGGUUUGCUUGUUUGUUGUCCCCCUUCGAAGACAACAACGACAGGACUUCGGCCCGGAAAUUUCGUUUAACGAGUAUGUGUCUUUCAAAGGGGGAACCUAA
RNAcentral lists this long non-coding RNA (1000 nucleotides) under Volvox carteri. RNAcentral describes it as "long non-coding RNA (VCAR_LNC004432)". The record is from RNAcentral. Lineage: Eukaryota; Viridiplantae; Chlorophyta; Chlorophyceae; Chlamydomonadales; Volvocaceae.